AGACGUCUACAUUAGAUACCCCCGUAGUCCAGGGUGUAAACGCUGCGGGCUUGGUGUUGGGGGUCCUUUGAGGGCGCCCAGUGCCGGAGAGAAGUUGUUAAGCCUGCUGCUUGGGGAGUACGUCCGCAAGGAUGAAACUUAAAGGAAUUGGCGGGGGAGCACCGCAACGGGAGGAGCGUGCGGUUCAAUUGGAUUCAACGCCGGACAACUCACCAGGAGCGACGGUUACAUGAAGGCCAGGCUGAUGACCUUGCCUGAUUUUCCG
This 265-nucleotide ribosomal RNA is filed under the name uncultured archaeon. Its description in RNAcentral is "partial 16S ribosomal RNA". It matches the Rfam family "Archaeal small subunit ribosomal RNA", at positions 714 to 982 of the family's 1478-position model. The record is from RNAcentral.